This 356-nucleotide long non-coding RNA is filed under the name Theobroma cacao (cacao). RNAcentral describes it as "long non-coding RNA (TCAC_LNC000067)". Lineage: Eukaryota; Viridiplantae; Streptophyta; Magnoliopsida; Malvales; Malvaceae. The record is from RNAcentral.
UUCGGUGGCGCCGGAAGUGAAGACGAUUUCUCUCGGCGAAGCUCCGAUAAGCUCGGCGACUUGUGCGCGGGCGGUUUCGACGGCAGUUUCCGAUUCCCAACCGUAGAGGUGAGUACGGGAGUGAGGGUUGCCGUAACGGCUGAGGUAAAAAGGAAGCAUCGAAUCUAAAACCCUAGGGUCCACUGGGGAAGUCGCUUGCAUGUCGAGGUAAAGAGGACGGCCCGCGAUUUUCACGCCUUUCAUGAUAAUUCCUUCUGUGUCCUCAUACUCUGUUGGGGAUGCAACUGCUGCCGCUGUGGAGAAGCGGCGGAGAAGGGUGGUUUGUUUAGUUUUGAUUAGGGUUUGACGAAGAAGCU